GGUUAAGCAAUUAAUCUAGAUGAAUUGAGAACUAGCAAAUUAACUGAAUCAAGCGUUUUGGUAUGNNNNNNNNNNNNNNNNNNNNNNNNNNNNNNNNNNNNNNNNNNNNNNNNNNNNNNNNNNNNNNNNNNNNNNNNNNNNNNNNNNNNNNNNNNNNNNNNNCAAGGUUAACCGUAUAGGGGAGCCGUAGAGAAAUCGAGUCUUAAUAGGGCGUUUAGUUGCUGGGUAUAGACCCGAAACCAGGCGAUCUAUCCAUGAGCAGGUUGAAGGUUGGGUAACACUAACUGGAGGACCGAACCCACUGUCGUUGAAAAGCCAGGGGAUGACUUGUGGAUAGGGGUGAAAGGCUAAUCAAGCCUGGUGAUAGCUGGUUCUCCCCGAAAGCUAUUUAGGUAGCGCCUCGGACGAAUACCAUAGGGGGUAGAGCACUGUUUCGGCUAGGGGGUCAUCCCGACUUACCAAACCGAUGCAAACUCCGAAUACCUAUGAGUACUAUCCGGGAGACAGACUGCGGGUGCUAACGUCCGUAGUCAAGAGGAAAACAAUCCAGACCGCCAGCUAAGGCCCCAAAAUCAUAGUUAAGUGGGAAACGAUGUGGGAAGGCAUAGACAGCUAGGAGGUUGGCUUAGAAGCAGCCACCCUUUAAAGAAAGCGUAAUAGCUCACUAGUCGAGUCGGCCUGCGCGGAAGAUGUAACGGGGCUAAAACUAUGUGCCGAAGCUGCGGAUGUAUACUUUGUAUACGUGGUAGGGGAGCGUUCUGUAAGCCGAUGAAGGUGUGUUGAGAAGCAUGCUGGAGGUAUCAGAAGUGCGAAUGCUGACGUGAGUAACGACAAAACGGGUGAAAAACCCGUUCGCCGAAAGACCAAGGGUUCCAGUCCAACGUUAAUCGGGGCUGGGUGAGUCGACCCCUAAGGCGAGGCCGAAAGGCGUAGUCGAUGGGAAAAUGGUUAAUAUUCCAUUACUUCUGUGUAAUGCGAUGAGAGGACGGAGAAGGCUAAAUCAGCCUGGCGUUGGUUGUCCAGGUGAAAGGAUGUAGGCAUGUAUCUUAGGCAAAUCCGGGGUACUCUAUGCUGAGAUCUGAUAGCAAGCUGUACUUGUACAGCGAAGUGGUUGAUGCCAUGCUUCCAGGAAAAGUCUCUAAGCUUCAGUUACACAGGAAUCGUACCCGAAACCGACACAGGUGGUCAGGUCGAGUAGACCAAGGCGCUUGAGAGAACUCUGCUGAAGGAACUAGGCAAAAUGGUACCGUAACUUCGGGAGAAGGUACGCUGUUGUUGGUGAUGGAACUCGCUUCCUGAGCUGACGACAGCCGCAGAAACCAGGCCGCUGCAACUGUUUAUUAAAAACAUAGCACUCUGCAAACACGAAAGUGGACGUAUAGGGUGUGAUGCCUGCCCGGUGCUGGAAGGUUAAUUGAUGGGGUUAGCGUAAGCGAAGCUCUUGAUCGAAGCCCCAGUAAACGGCGGCCGUAACUAUAACGGUCCUAAGGUAGCGAAAUUCCUUGUCGGGUAAGUUCCGACCUGCACGAAUGGCAUAAUGAUGGCGGCGCUGUCUCCAGCAGAGGCUCAGUGAAAUCGAAAUCGCUGUGAAGAUGCAGUGUACCCGCGGCUAGACGGAAAGACCCCGUGAACCUUUACUGCAGCUUGACACUGAACUUUGACCUUACUUGUGUAGGAUAGGUGGGAGGCUUUGAAGCUGGAACGCUAGUUCCAGUGGAGCCGUCCUUGAAAUACCACCCUGGUAAUGUUGAGGUUCUAACUCUGUCCCGUGAUCCGGGACGAGGACCGUGUCUGGUGGGUAGUUUGACUGGGGCGGUCUCCUCCUAAAGAGUAACGGAGGAGUACGAAGGUGCGCUCAGCGUGGUCGGAAAUCACGCGUAGAGUAUAAAGGCAAAAGCGCGCUUAACUGCGAGACCCACAAGUCGAGCAGGUACGAAAGUAGGUCUUAGUGAUCCGGUGGUUCUGUAUGGAAGGGCCAUCGCUCAACGGAUAAAAGGUACUCUGGGGAUAACAGGCUGAUACCGCCCAAGAGUUCAUAUCGACGGCGGUGUUUGGCACCUCGAUGUCGGCUCAUCUCAUCCUGGGGCUGAAGCAGGUCCCAAGGGUAUGGCUGUUCGCCAUUUAAAGAGGUACGCGAGCUGGGUUUAGAACGUCGUGAGACAGUUCGGUCCCUAUCUACCGUGGGCGCUGGAAAUUUGAGAGGAUCUGCUCCUAGUACGAGAGGACCAGAGUGGACGAACCUCUGGUGUACCGGUUGUGACGCCAGUCGCAUCGCCGGGUAGCUAUGUUCGGAAGGGAUAACCGCUGAAAGCAUCUAAGCGGGAAGCCUACCUCAAGAUAAGAUUUCCCUAGGACUUUAUGUCCUCUAAAGAGCCGUUCGAGACUAGGACGUUGAUAGGUUGGAUGUGGAAGCAUAGUGAUAUGUGAAGCUGACCAAUACUAAUUGCUCGUGAGGCUUGACUAU
This 2464-nucleotide ribosomal RNA is filed under the name Acinetobacter baumannii. RNAcentral's name for it is "23S ribosomal RNA". It matches the Rfam family "Bacterial large subunit ribosomal RNA", at positions 644 to 2925 of the family's 2925-position model. The record is from RNAcentral. Lineage: Bacteria; Pseudomonadati; Pseudomonadota; Gammaproteobacteria; Moraxellales; Moraxellaceae.